AUUGCAGAAGAACUGGAAUCUUUUCAGUGUCUGUAUUGGGAUGGCUGCAACUUCCAUGUUUCAACUUUCACGUAAAAUUCAGCAUGACUUAUCUCCCAAAAACCAACAAGCUGCUGAAAAGAAUAAUGAAGAACAUCACUUCAUCAACUUAUUAUAGAGUAACUUGGCAUACCAAGUUGGGCACACUCUGAUUUGAGUUAUGUAAACUGAUUAUUAGUUUCUUUCUUUUUUUGAAAUACAAUUUAUGGUAAAUUACGGAAGAGUGAGAUUAAACUCGAGUGUAAUGAAUAAGCACACCGUGCUCAACUAACCGAACUAUUUGUGUUAUAAUUACUUGAUAAUAUAUAUAU
Long non-coding RNA from Prunus persica (peach), 350 nucleotides. RefSeq lists it as uncharacterized. The transcript has 2 exons. Lineage: Eukaryota; Viridiplantae; Streptophyta; Magnoliopsida; Rosales; Rosaceae. The record is from RefSeq and is a predicted model, not a curated record.